RNAcentral lists this unclassified non-coding RNA (349 nucleotides) under uncultured fungus. RNAcentral's name for it is "sequence contains ITS1". The stretch from base 1 to 100 matches the Rfam family "5.8S ribosomal RNA", at positions 50 to 154 of the family's 154-position model. Lineage: Eukaryota; Fungi. The record is from RNAcentral.
GAAGUGCGACAAGUGUCAUGACUUGCAGAUUCCCGAGAGCUGACAAAUUUCUGAAUGCAAAUGGCGGCCGUCUCAACCGGCCAUGUAUCGCAGAGUGUAGUUGUUCAUACUCAUCAUCCCCCACAAUCCAUACGAUGGUUGUGGUGCUUGGGAUCUGCGCUUGCGACUGCCAUUUUAAUGGCGCGCGAGCGUUAAAAAUCGAGCAUCAAUGGUUGACAGAGAGAAAUCUCCGUCAAUGAUUGAUGACUUCGGAAUAAGAGUGCUUCUGGCACUUACUUGUGACGAAGUUAAGGCUCAAACAAACUUUAGGCAGCCACCUCUGCGAUGCAGGAGAACCCGCUGAACUUAA